Molecule: long non-coding RNA, 3612 nt
Organism: Drosophila simulans
Lineage: Eukaryota; Metazoa; Arthropoda; Insecta; Diptera; Drosophilidae
Exons: 4
Source: RefSeq, a predicted model, not a curated record
AAAGACUUUCUGAUAAGGCGAUCCAAACGUGUUUGUCGUUCUACUCGAAUGUGUAUCGCAGUCUCCUCUGCGGUUGCGUGUGCGUGGAUUUUCCAUUAAUUAACUACGAAGCAAGCGGCGGGACGACGUUGACAUUAAGGCAUCAUCAGCAGAGUCGACCUCUAUAAUUAAGGCUGAACCCGGGAGAGAGGCCCAAAAGCCGCGAAAUGUGGACAAGACCAACUGAGGAAAACUGUAUCAAUGUGUCGGAAUAAGACUAGGGUAUACCCCUUGGUAAAUCGUCACACCUCCCCCCUAGGUCUUGAUGGAAAAACCCGACUCGGACUCGACAACUUUUUUCUAUAAUAGGGAGUAUGGAAAGAAAACAAAAGGCGGGAAUCGAGCUCCAGCAUUGCCAUCAUGGAUGGAGAUGAAGUCACAGAGCCACCAAAUGAGCGUUGAUGAGUUCCAUUUAAAUAAAAUCUUGAUCGGCAGGCAGACCAAGUCGCGGCAUCCGUUUUGAGGCCCAUAGAGACCAUGCUGAGGGGCAGUCGGAGCAAAAUUAAUAUCGUAAAAAGAUACAUCCGAUAAUUUAUGAAACAUAAAUAACUAAAACAAAAAUACAAAUCAUUUGUCCGAUGACAGUUGCUGCGUCUGUUUUUCAAUAGCUUUUUCGAAUUGAUUCCGUUGCUUGAUGGCGUUCAUCGUCGAUUUUCGUUUCUCUGUGGUUUUUUAUUAUCUUUCAUUCCCUUGGUCGAAUCCAGCUGACAUUUGCUUAUUAUUAUUGGUCAGCCCGGACCGGGACCGUUUCAUCUUGCUGGUGAAUCGACGGCUGGAACGUUGAAUUUAUGUAAAUCGCGCUCUCCGAAUCUGAAGUAGGUACGCACCACGACCAAUUAUGAAUUUAUUGUGGCUGUCUUGGAGGAUUUUUGUUUUUAUGUUCGCGGCCCAACGUUCUCUGCCGAAAAUUUAACUAAUAUUGUACAAUUUCAGAUAAAGUGACAUAAACCAUCAACUGAGUGGUGCAGACAGAAGUGGAUCAAUAGUAGACGUUAUUUUAAGACUAAAAGGGUAUCAUAGAUUCGUUGAAAAAUAUGUAAAAAGUGUAGAAGAAAGCGUUUCCGACCAGGAUCACUCGCCGAGUCGAUCUGGUUAUGUCCGCCCGUAUGAACGUCGAGAUCUCAGGAACUAUAAAAGCAAGAAAGCUUAUAUUAAGCUUGCAGAUUCUAGAUACAUAGACUCCUGCGAGCUGAGUAAAGGAUAUUUGAUAGUCAACGAACUGGACUACCACAUAUAACGUAAAGACUUUGGAAUACAAUUACUAGCACCCUUUUCCCCUUUUAAACCAUAGCUCCAUGAUUCUUUUACACAGCAAAUCAAAUUGAUACCCACAUUUAUCGUUUUUCCAUUUAGUACGUGUACUAUGCCACCGCACGCAUCCACAUUUUCCUCGCAGUCGGCUUCGAUGUUGUGUUAAUUUGACCAAAUUUUUGAGAUCAUCAGUCUAACAACGACUUCUUAUUGGAGGCUCUUGCUUGGAGUCCACAGUUCACAUCUGAACACCGUAAGCGGUGCUCCCUUGCACUUCGUUGUGUUCGAUAGAGCUCACAAAUCAAGGGUGAAAUAUAUUCGGCGAGCGAUAAAAAUUCAGCAAAGAGGAAACACAGACCUCAAGCGAAUGGAGGAGUCUAUAUACAUGAAAAUGAAGAUGUAAAUUAUACGAAAUGUGAGGCAUUGACCAACCAAAGAGCAGCCACAACAUGGAGGACUGGAAGACGGCGAGCCAUUCCGAACACCAGAGGCAGGUAAUGCUAUCAAUCUACAAGCUGUACCUAACAGAUGCACUGCAGUGCGAGAGAGGCGGCACUACAGUAUGUUGAAAGGGAUGGUAUGGAGCUGAGUGCCGGGUAAGGAAAGGCAGCUCGCAUACUCGUAUAUAAGAAACACCCUCCCGGGCAAAUGAUUGAUUGCUCAUCAUUUUUCAUUCUUAAUGAAAAUGCACCCCGCUGGCAAGAGUUGAGUUCACUCGCUGGUUGGCUGCCCCGUAGAUCCAGUCGCCAAUGUAUCUGUAUCUGUUUCUGUGUCUAUGUCUGUGUCUGUGUCUGUGUCUGUGUCUGUGUCUGUGUCUGAAUCUGUAUCUGUAUCUGUAUCUGUACCUGCGUCCGUGCCCCGGUGCGGCUGUGUCUGUGCUCGUGGCACACCUGAGUCGCUCAGACAAGCUAGCAGAAAGGUGCAAAGGUGCGAUUAUCGCGACUGUGGCGGGGAGUGGGUCUAGCUAAGCUUGGCCAAAUUUCACGUUCGCCGCCCAGAGGCAUAAAAAUGGCUGCCAAGAGAGAACAUGGCUUCCCCGUUCCACCACCAUUCCUCGUUCUCACCCGGCUGCCAGUCAACUGUCAACUGUUCUGUGCCCGCGUCAUGCUAUGCAUCAUCUUAUGGCAGUUAUUAACCUUUGGUGUGCUCCGCCCAACUCUACAUGUUUGCUGCUCGUAUCCUCCUGUCCCCGCGCUUCCAUCCGCCUGAUCUAGGAGUUUGCCGUGGUAGCAAUUGCAGAAAUUAAACAAACUUCCAGCUACAGUUCCCGUUUUUACACUGGGCAAAAAAAGCACUUUGCAAGAGCCAACAUAAAAAUCGUUACAUAUACGGAUGAUAAUAGUAAUAUUAAAUAACAAUAAGAAACGGAGUAGGUAUUAUUUUUAAUGCCACCGUAAGGAAGAAUAAAAACAUCUUACUUUUUACUUUGUUGUACGGGGUCAUCUCGGAUGGUAGCUAUAGGAUAGGAUAGGGAUUUGGAGCAUCUUGGACCGACGACUAUGAAUAAACAUUAAUAUUUUUUCUAGUUUAAUCUUAUCCAAUACCAUCAUUAGAUUUAAGCUGUAAAUAUGUGUAGGCCGUUCCUUUUCCUCUCUAUUUCUGAGCGACACACAUUUUGGGAUCAGAGAUGGGGUCAAAGGAGGAACUGUCGCCUACUCGGCGGGCAUUGCUGCUCUUGGGCCACUGGAAUUGGAGGUGGAGAGGGCUGUUAAUGGGCGGCAUAGCCACCCUCGUCAACGACAAAAAUCCAGCCUGUUUGUCACAUUGCCGGGCCACCCAGCCACCCAGCCAGCCAGCCAGCCAGCCACCCAGGCACCCACCGAGCCAGUCAGCCAUCAUCAUCAUCAUCAGCAUCUGAGUAAACAACUGAACAUGGACAGUAAAUUGUAGACGUCAUAAUGUUGAGGGCGAGCAGUACCGACAACAGUAGCACAGUACGAAAAUCGUCGACGGCAACUGUAUAAGUUAUUACGCUGUGUACUCUUUGCGCACAUAAAAAUACAUUAAUAAAUAUUAUUUAUGAAUACUCGCAUGUAGCAUAUAUAGCGCACCAUUCUGUGCAACAUCUUCUUUGCACAUCUACCACUUUUCAGCUUGCUCAUCAUCGAGCUCCACCCCCAUAAACUGACGUGCAAAGAUGGGAGGAGAAUGUUCACGUGUGGAUUGGACCCGCUCCAGGAGCCAUAUAGGUGCCGUAUUCGCAACUUGUUAAACAUAUCGGAGCAACUGGAUAGGUAACAAUAGGGGUACAGAUUUGUAAUAAUAAUUUUAAAAAAUAUAGAAAUUGGAUACUGAAUUUUAGGAAAUCAAGGAGAAUAUUAA